AUGGUAUCCACAUUGUUUCAAGAGCUUACUUCUUUGACUUUCAGUGGUCUUCCACUCAGACUAUGCUUGUUUAGAACUUCGGCAGCUUUUUUCAUGCUUUCUUCCAUCUUGAAUUCAACAACGACACUUACCCUUGACUUUCCUUCAGCGUCCAUUAAGAGCUCCACGUAUGUUACCUCACCAACUACAAAUCAGUUUCCAGACGACACAUAAACCAAGGGAGAAAAGCCAAGAAAACAAUGGGAAUUUAGAACAAUCAUCAGCAACCUUGUAUGGAGCCUCUGCCUUAUAAGAAAGCCCAGAAACACUCCAUAUGCUCUAAACCACCAAACUAGGCAUUACAGGUGUGCAGUAAAAGUAGGUGAGACUCGUUAACAAUUAUGUCCUUGAUUUUCCUCCCACCACAAACAAGCUAUUUCCACAGAUUUCCAUAUCAAUUUCCCUGUCUGGAAUACUCACUCAUGACUAGAGGCAAUCCAAAUCUAUAGGAAAGAAGUCUGCGCGCUUCACUUUUUUGGGGAAGGGAGGCAAACAGUUUUACAGAAUACACUCCCACGGGUGAAAGCAGGUAAACAGUGCACCAGCUGCAAUGCCAAUGAACUGAGCUCAAAUGCUAACUACCAGGACGUGCAAGUGUAUAUAUGCUCAAAGGCACACACACGGUGCGGCCGGCUGCAUAGGUGCAAUCUGCGUGACCGCCCGAGGCCCUGCACUCAGGAGGGCCACGCGCUUAGUUUAAUGCUCUGAAAUUCUUAAUUUUUUAACAAGAGGCCUUCAGUUUUCAUUUUGCAUGGGGGCCCACAGAAUCUGUAGCUGGUCCUGCAUAUGGCACUAGGCUCCAGAAUUGUUAGAAGUAGAAUGUUCGAGUAUCCAAUCAUAAACCAGAGCAGCAUCUGGAUUCUCUUCAGUGAACUAAGCCAGGCUUUAUUCUUCCUGCUUUCUCAUCCUUCCCAUUGAAAGACACAGAUAAAUGCAAAUUUAGAGCUCAGUUUGCAACUAAACAAGUUAAGACGACUCACAUGAUUCUGAACUACACAAAGUGGGGGUAGAAAACAAAGCAUUUCAAAAGAUUCGCAGAUUUUCCUCAAGGUUUGGAUUGCCAAUUCAUGACCACCAUGACCAGAUGUUAGAAUCCAUCGAGAAGACAACCACCUAAAUGGCUGCUGAACUUGAAGAUGGCACAAAGAGAACAAAAACUUGAAGUGUUAACUUGGAGAAAACAAUCUCUUAAGCAGGCUCUCCAAAGCCAAGAAAGUGCUUUUGUCCUCAGGAAUAUUUUUUUUUUUUAAGUUUAUUUUUAUGAUAGUAAAGCCGCCUCCAAUUCUGUGUUCAAGUUUGGUUUAACAGUACAAGGGUAAAAGUAAACCUCUUAAUGGCCUCAGCAAGUCCCGCCUAUUCUAAUUCCUUUGCUCAAAGAAUAUUCAAAUUAUGAGGAUUUUAAAAUAAUAGCAAAGAAAGAUUAAAAUGUAAGAUAAAAUUACUUUUAAAAUAAAAUUAACAAUUUAAAGGGCGUA
Molecule: long non-coding RNA, 1514 nt
Filed under: Ursus maritimus (polar bear)
Lineage: Eukaryota; Metazoa; Chordata; Mammalia; Carnivora; Ursidae
Description: lncRNA (ENSUMAG00000014580.1)
Source: RNAcentral